GAUGAACGCUGGCGGCGUGCCUAGUACAUGCAAGUCGAGCGAACGGACGAGAAGCUUGCUUCUCUGAUGUUAGCGGCGGACGGGUGAGUAACACGUGGAUAACCUACCUAUAAGACUGGGAUAACUUCGGGAAACCGGAGCUAAUACCGGAUAAUAUUUUGAACCGCAUGGUUCAAAAGUGAAAGACGGUCUUGCUGUCACUUAUAGAUGGAUCCGCGCUGCAUUAGCUAGUUGGUAAGGUAACGGCUUACCAAGGCAACGAUGCAUAGCCGACCUGAGAGGGUGAUCGGCCACACUGGAACUGAGACACGGUCCAGACUCCUACGGGAGGCAGCAGUAGGGAAUCUUCCGCAAUGGGCGAAAGCCUGACGGAGCAACGCCGCGUGAGUGAUGAAGGUCUUCGGAUCGUAAAACUCUGUUAUUAGGGAAGAACAUAUGUGUAAGUAACUGUGCACAUCUUGACGGUACCUAAUCAGAAAGCCACGGCUAACUACGUGCCAGCAGCCGCGGUAAUACGUAGGUGGCAAGCGUUAUCCGGAAUUAUUGGGCGUAAAGCGCGCGUAGGCGGUUUUUUAAGUCUGAUGUGAAAGCCCACGGCUCAACCGUGGAGGGUCAUUGGAAACUGGAAAACUUGAGUGCAGAAGAGGAAAGUGGAAUUCCAUGUGUAGCGGUGAAAUGCGCAGAGAUAUGGAGGAACACCAGUGGCGAAGGCGACUUUCUGGUCUGUAACUGACGUUGAUGUGCGAAAGCGUGGGGAUCAAACAGGAUUAGAUACCCUGGUAGUCCACGCCGUAAACGAUGAGUGCUAAGUGUUAGGGGGUUUCCGCCCCUUAGUGCUGCAGCUAACGCAUUAAGCACUCCGCCUGGGGAGUACGACCGCAAGGUUGAAACUCAAAGGAAUUGACGGGGACCCGCACAAGCGGUGGAGCAUGUGGUUUAAUUCGAAGCAACGCGAAGAACCUUACCAAAUCUUGACAUCCUUUGACAACUCUAGAGAUAGAGCCUUCCCCUUCGGGGGACAAAGUGACAGGUGGUGCAUGGUUGUCGUCAGCUCGUGUCGUGAGAUGUUGGGUUAAGUCCCGCAACGAGCGCAACCCUUAAGCUUAGUUGCCAUCAUUAAGUUGGGCACUCUAAGUUGACUGCCGGUGACAAACCGGAGGAAGGUGGGGAUGACGUCAAAUCAUCAUGCCCCUUAUGAUUUGGGCUACACACGUGCUACAAUGGACAAUACAAAGGGCAGCGAAACCGCGAGGUCAAGCAAAUCCCAUAAAGUUGUUCUCAGUUCGGAUUGUAGUCUGCAACUCGACUACAUGAAGCUGGAAUCGCUAGUAAUCGUAGAUCAGCAUGCUACGGUGAAUACGUUCCCGGGUCU
RNAcentral lists this ribosomal RNA (1372 nucleotides) under uncultured bacterium. Its description in RNAcentral is "bacterial SSU rRNA". It matches the Rfam family "Bacterial small subunit ribosomal RNA", at positions 28 to 1381 of the family's 1533-position model. The record is from RNAcentral.